RNAcentral lists this ribosomal RNA (519 nucleotides) under Feihyla vittiger. Its description in RNAcentral is "partial large subunit ribosomal RNA". It matches the Rfam family "Bacterial large subunit ribosomal RNA", at positions 1941 to 2624 of the family's 2925-position model. Lineage: Eukaryota; Metazoa; Chordata; Amphibia; Anura; Rhacophoridae. The record is from RNAcentral.
UCUGACCGUGCAAAGGUAGCGUAAUCACUUGGUUCUUUAAAUAAGGACUAGUAUCAACGGCAUCACGAGGGUUGCACUGUCUCCUUUUUCUAAUCAGUGAAAUUGAUCUCCCCGUGAAGAAGCGGGCAUAAAACCAUAAGACGAGAAGACCCCAUGGAGCUUUAAACCAUAAGGCAACUUAAUAAAAUAAACCUUUAUAACCAUUAAGAAACAUGCACAUCGGUUUUAGGUUGGGGUGACCACGGAGAAUAAAAUAACCUCCACGACGAAAAGACCUAAAUCUUUAUCCAUGAACUACUAUUCUAAGAAUUAGCAUACUAACGUACUAUGAUCCGAUUAUCGAUCAACGAACCAAGUUACCCUGGGGAUAACAGCGCAAUCUACUUCAAGAGCCCAUAUCGACAAGUAGGCUUACGACCUCGAUGUUGGAUCAGGGUAUCCUAGUGGUGCAGCCGCUACUAAAGGUUCGUUUGUUCAACGAUUAAAACCUUACGUGAUCUGAGUUGAGACCCGGAGAGA